Molecule: transfer RNA, 68 nt
Filed under: Marmota monax (woodchuck)
Lineage: Eukaryota; Metazoa; Chordata; Mammalia; Rodentia; Sciuridae
Description: tRNA.Ala
Source: RNAcentral
GGUAUGUGGCUCAGCGGUACAGCGCAGGCCUAGCAUGUGCGAGGUCCUGGGUUCGAUCCUUAGCACCA